Molecule: small RNA, 1726 nt
Filed under: Pan troglodytes (chimpanzee)
Lineage: Eukaryota; Metazoa; Chordata; Mammalia; Primates; Hominidae
Description: retained intron
Source: RNAcentral
CCUUUCCGUCUGGCGGCAGCCAUCAGGUAAGCCAAGAUGGGUGCAUACAAGUACAUCCAGGAGCUAUGGAGAAAGAAGCAGUCUGAUGUCAUGCGCUUUCUUCUGAGGGUCCGCUGCUGGCAGUACCGCCAGCUCUCUGCUCUCCACAGGGCUCCCCGCCCCACCCGGCCUGAUAAAGCGCGCCGACUGGGCUACAAGGCCAAGCAAGGUACGUGAUCGACUGCGUGGAUGCUUGGAUAAAAUUACAUUCGAGAAAAGUUGGAAACCAGCUGUUAGGAAGACACUGCUGCCUCAGUGUCUUUUCUUCGCAUAGGGCUUUGGCAGAAUAGAGCUAGCAACACUGGUCAGUUACUGUAUGCACUGUUGUCUAAAGUGGCAAGUGUGUCAAAGGUUACAAAUCUGAAUGAGUUCAGACUAAAGCAAAAUAAACAGUGUGCCUCCCUGUGUGAGUAGCCUAAGGUGCAUUGAAAAAGACUGGGAUGUGUUUUAUUUUUUUCCAUUAGAUAGCAUUAACUUACUGUUGAAGUAUUUUUGGUGGAGUAUUAGUGACAAGCCAUUGAGUCUUAAGCCUUACGGCUUCCUAUAAAAUCACUAAUUUUGUGUGUGUUUGUGUGUAGGUUACGUUAUAUAUAGGAUUCGUGUUCGCCGUGGUGGCCGAAAACGCCCAGUUCCUAAGGGUGCAACUUACGGCAAGCCUGUACAUCAUGGUGUUAACCAGCUAAAGUUUGCUCGAAGCCUUCAGUCCGUUGCAGAGGUAAAUGGUUUUGAGUAGCAGUUAUAUUGAAUACUGCCUGGGGAUGGUGGGAGAGACAGAUUAAGCAACUUUUCUGAUUGUACUUAGGUGAGCUGUCUCAUGUAUAAAACAGGGUUUGUAAUUUUUACUAAUCUUGGUAAAGAGUAAUUGCUUGAAAGACUUGUAAGUCUUUGUUACAAAUGCGUGUGUAUAUACUGGAAGUACUUGUGGAACCUAAGCUUUAAGGCGGCAAGAAUAUGCAGAAGAGACCAAAUGUGGCCUGCACAGCCUAAAAUAUAUACUAAAUAUUUUUAAAGCUAAACGUUGCUGAGCUCUCAGUUGUAUGGAAAAAGAUAAGGUCCCCAAACCCUAAAUUUUGUUACCCAGAUAUUCAUGCCCUAGUCAGGAAUGGAGUAUUAAGAGGGAAUGAUGUGUUUCAGUCUAUGUGUGUUGUUUUAGCAAGUCUACAUUAUCUCAUUACACUUGUGAUAGUCUAGGGAGAGAUGCUUAGUAAAUAACUUGAGUAGUAAAAGACUCUUGUCUGGUGGUGAACUAGAGUUGAGAAUUAAAAUUCUUUCUGACUUGCUGCUAUAGGCAAUGUGGGAGACUGACCUUGGGCCUUUUUUCCUAUUCUAGGAGCGAGCUGGACGCCACUGUGGGGCUCUGAGAGUCCUGAAUUCUUACUGGGUUGGUGAAGAUUCCACAUACAAAUUUUUUGAGGUUAUCCUCAUUGAUCCAUUCCAUAAAGCUAUCAGAAGAAAUCCUGACACCCAGUGGAUCACCAAACCAGUCCACAAGCACAGGGAGAUGCGUGGGCUGACAUCUGCAGGCCGAAAGAGCCGUGGCCUUGGAAAGGGCCAUAAGUUCCACCACACUAUUGGUGGCUCUCGCCGGGCAGCUUGGAGAAGGCGCAAUACUCUCCAGCUCCACCGUUACCGCUAAUAUAAGUAAAGUUUGUAAAAUUCAUACUUAAUAAACAAUUUAGGACAGUCA